UCACGUGUUUCUCUCCUUGGAGUGAGACUGAGUCUCGGUGGCGGCUGGAGGGGGCCGGACUCAUAAACACAGACACCGCCGCUUGUUUGGGUUUGGGGCGCUCCGAAACUCCGAGAAGCAGCCGGAGGAGGAGAAGUCAGCCAGGCAGCCCCAGACCCGCCUUCAGCCUGGGGCACGGGAGGGGGCUUUGCUGUUGGCUUCGGCGCCUUUCCCGACUGGAAUGAGGAGGAGGAGGAGGAGGAGGAAGAGAGGAUGUUCCUUCCCCACUUGGGCUGCUUCCCCUCCUGCUGCUGCCUGGUUGCAUUUUGUGUUGAAAUGGCACUUUCUCUUCCUAACGAGAUGGGACUGAAUGGGGUCGCCAGCCUCCUCACGCAUAAGCAGAAGCAGCAGCCUCGGCGCUGAUUUUGGGGCUGGGCUGCGUUUUUAGGGGGGGGAGAAGAGGCGUGUGUUUUGGGGUGUAAGCCCCGGACUUUGCAAAACAAACCGCUACCCAGAGGAUCUUUAAUCUGCUACAGAGAUUGCGCUCGCUGAGGCGAAGUUGUGAAGGGGAGGGUGUUUUGGAGCGAAGCAAGGGGGACCCCGUUCCUGCUCCUCUCUACAGAGGAAUCCGACCCAUACGACUGAAAGAUGCGUUUCUUCUCCUCCCCGGCGGCGGCUGCUGGGAGAACUAGACUUUCAUCUGGACUGACUGAGACUGGACUCUUUAAGGAUAUAUUGACCCUCCUGAGGGUGAUUUGGGCAUAAACAGCAAUAUAAACGCUGCUGUGGUGCUGGAAGCUGCCUCUGCCACUGAACAGCUGCUCUCACCCUGCCAGUAUCCCCUCCCCCCAUCCCGUUUUGGAGAGGGGAUUCCGAGCUAGUUUGCUUUUUUGUUAUGAUUGUUGUUGCAUGAAUUGUAUUUUACGAGGUUUUUUUUUUUUUCUGCCUUGCUUGGCAGUUUUGGGGGCCUGUGGGCUGAUAGCUGCGGUAAAAACACCACCACCUCUCCUUCCACCAUGGCUAGCCCCACGGAUAAUAAUGAGGGCUUCUUCUCAGAUGUCAGGAAGGUGGGUUACUUGCGCAAACCCAAGAGCAUGCAUAAACGCUUCUUCGUGCUGAGGGCAGCCAGCGAGUCAGGACCUGCCCGGCUGGAGUACUAUGAGAAUGAGAAGAAAUGGAGACAUAAGUCAGGAGCCCCCAAGCGUUCCAUCCCACUGGAGAGCUGCUUCAACAUCAACAAACGGGCAGACUCCAAGAACAAGCACCUGGUGGCCCUCUAUACCAAGGACGAGCACUUUGCCAUUGCAGCUGACAGCGAGCCUGAGCAGGAGAGCUGGUACCAAGCCUUGCUGCAGUUGCACAAUCGGGCCAAGGGCCACCACCACCUCCAUCAUCAUCGUCACCACCACCACCAUAGUGAUGUCUCCUUUGGGGGUGGCAGUGCAGGGCUGGGGGAGGCAGGUGACGAUAGCUAUGGCGAGGUGGUCCCUGGCCCGGCUUUCAAGGAGGUUUGGCAAGUGAUCCUGAAACCUAAAGGUCUGGGCCAGACCAAGAACCUGAUCGGCAUCUACCGCCUGUGCCUGACCAACAAAACCAUCAGCUUUGUGAAGCUGAACUCAGAUGCAGCUGCUGUGGUAUUGCAGCUGCUCAACAUCCGCCGCUGUGGCCACUCAGAGAACUUCUUUUUCAUAGAGGUUGGGCGUUCAGCGGUGACUGGGCCUGGUGAGUUCUGGAUGCAGGUGGAUGAUUCAGUGGUGGCACAGAACAUGCAUGAGACCAUCCUGGAAGCCAUGCGGGCCAUGAGUGAGGAAUUCCGGCCCCGUAGCAAGAGCCAGUCCUCUUCCAACUGCUCCAAUCCCAUCUCUGUGCCCCUCCGCAGCAGACACCAUGUCAACAACCCCCCACCCAGCCAGGUGGGGCUCAGUCGCAGGUCCAGGACUGAGAGUGUGACUGCUACCUCCCCUGCUGGGGGUGGUGGUGGUGGAGGAGGAGGAACAGGGGGCAAACCCAGCUCUUUCCGAGUCCGAGCCUCUAGUGAUGGGGAAGGAACUAUGUCCAGGCCUGCCUCUGUGGAUGGCAGCCCAGUAAGUCCCAGUGCCAACCGGACCCACUCACAUCGGCACCGUGGCAACUCCAGGCUUCACCCUCCACUCAACCACAGUCGCUCCAUCCCAAUGCCUUCUUCACGCUGUUCCCCUUCAGCCACCAGCCCAGUCAGCCUGUCAUCCAGCAGCACCAGUGGCCAUGGCUCCACCUCAGACUGCCUCUUCCCACGCAGGUCCAGUGCUUCGGUAUCAGGCUCCCCCAGUGAUGGUGGUUUCAUCUCCUCCGACGAAUAUGGCUCCAGCCCCUGCGAUUUCCGCAGCUCUUUUCGCAGUGUGACUCCAGACUCUCUGGGUCACACCCCGCCAGCACGGGGGGAUGAGGAGCUCAACAACUACAUUUGUAUGGGGGGCAAGGCUGCCUCGUCCUGCAGCUUGGCAGCUCCCAAUGGCCACUUCAUCCCUCGCAGUUGCCACCCACAGCAUCAGCAGUGCCGCUAUCCUGGCACCCCAUGCUGCCCCCGGAGUGGUGGAGAGGAGGUAACUGACCUGGAGAAGGGCUUCAGGAAGCGGACUCACUCUGCAGGCACCUCGCCCACCAUCUCCCACCAGAAGACACCCUCACAGUCUUCAGUAGCCUCCAUUGAGGAGUACACGGAAAUGCUGCCUUCCUACCCUUGUGGUGGCAACCGGCUGCCCUCCUACCGGCACUCUGCCUUUGUGCCCACUCACUCCUAUCCUGAGGAGCAUUUGGAGAUGCACCACUUGGAGGGCAGCCACCACCGGACCAACUCCACCCCACACACUGAUGACGGCUACAUGCCAAUGUCGCCUGGGGUGGCCCCUGUGCCCAGCAGUGGUGGCACUCCCAAAGGUGGUGACUAUAUGCCCAUGAGCCCCAAGAGCGUGUCAGCCCCACAGCAGAUCAUCAACCCUGGCAGGGGGGGUCGCCACACCCAAGCCAUGGUGGACUCCAAUGGGUACAUGAUGAUGUCCCCUAGUGGCAGCUGUUCGCCUGACGGUGGUCCCGCCGGCUAUGGCAAAAUGUGGACAAAUGGGGCUGGCCACCACCCAAAGCUCUCGGUAGAGAGCAGCGAAGGGAAGCUCCCAUGCAGCGGCAGUGACUACAUCAACAUGUCCCCAGCCAGCGGCUCAGCCACCAGCACCCCCCCGGACUGCUACUUCGCAAGCUCGGAGCCGCCGGGCCCGGAGGAGGCCUCGGCGCAGGGCCCGGCCGAGCCCCCCCACAAGCCCAUCUACUCCUACUUCUCCUUGCCGCGCUCCUUCAAACACGUGCAGCGCAGGGCAGCCGAGGAGAGCGGCCCCCAGCUGCGCAUCUCCCUCAGCUCCGGCCGCUUGCUCUACGCCGCGGAGGACUCGUCCUCUUCCACCAGCAGCGACAGCCUCGGCGGAGGCGGGGGCCAAGAGGGCGCCGGAGGUCCCUACCAGGCGCAGCCCCCGCCGCCGCAGCAGCCUACCCGUCAGGCGGCCGCGCAAAGCAGGAGCCGCCUGACCAGACCCACCCGCUUGUCCCUGGACGGCCCCAAGGCCAGCACCCUGCCGCGGGCGCGGGAGCAGCCCCCGCUGCUGCUGCCGCCGGAGCCCAAGAGCCCCGGCGAGUACGUGAACAUUGAGUUCGUGGCCAGUGACAAGCCAGCUUUCCCGUCGGCCGCGCGGCCCCGAGGGGACGAAGGCUCCGAGUACAUGAACAUGGAGCUGGGGCCGCCGCGGGCUGCCUGCCAAGCCGGCUUCGCAGCCGUACGGGCGGCAGCUGCGGCCCGGCCAGGCCGAGGAGCUGCUGCUCUCAGCAGCCGGGACUAUGUGACUAUGGAACAGGGGGGUGGUGUCGGGGGGCCCUGCCCGGGCUGCACCGACCCCCCGUCCCCCGCGCUCUUGCUCAACUACGCCGACAUGCGGACGGGCCGCGGCGUCCCGGAGAACCCCCCUGCUGCCCCUGCCUCCGCCCAGGCGCAGCCGCCGGCCGAGCUGGCAGCGGCGCCACCGCGCUCCUCCUCCCUGAUGGGAGGCCCGGGGGUGAACAGCGCCUUCACCCGCGUCAGCCUCAGCCCCGGCCGCAAUCAGAGCGCCAAAGUGAUCCGCGCCGACCCGCAGGGGGGCCGCCGGCGGCACAGCUCCGAGACUUUCUCCUCCACCCCCAGCACCGCCCGCGGCACGGCGGGCACCGGCGGCCUCAACGCGCCCUUGCUCUACGGGGCGGGCGGGGCGGGGGGCGCGGAGGAGGUGAAACGCCACAGCUCGGCCUCCUUCGAGAACGUCUGGCUCCGGCCUGCCUUGGGGGAGCUGGGGGCGGCCGCCAGGAGGGAGCAGCAGCCCCUCGGGGCCGGGGGUGGCUUUGAGAACGGACUCAACUACAUCGACCUGGACUUAGUGAAGGAUUUUAAUCAGCGUCGCCAACACCCCCACCACCCCCAGGAGGGCACCUCUGUGCUGGUGGGGAGGCAGCCGCCGCCCCCCAAAGCCCCUAAUCAGCCUUGUGGGAGUAGCCAUUCUAGCGACGAUUUGAGUGCAUAUGCCAGCAUCAGCUUCCAGAGGCGGGAGGACGUCUAAUAGCUGGGCAAGAGCCAGAGAGAAGGGAUACAGUCUCUCCUGUGUUUGCCAUUUUAUAAGAAAAAGAAACCCACAAUCUGCAGGCUGCAACUCACUUUCCUGUUACUCAACCCAUUGAUGGACAAUAAUUUCUUUUUCAAAAUUGGAAAGAAUGAUGACCUAUACAACCUCAGCAAAUCCUUCUUUUAACUCAUGGGUAUCCAGACUAUAAAUGUUACAUGAAUCACAACUAGGACCUCACAUCCUCCUCCUCGUCCAUAGAUGGGUACGAUGCAUCCAGUUCAGUUUGUUUACUUUACACAAACCUCAGGAGUUAGUUGACUGAACUGCACAUUCUAUGUUGUGCCAAGCAAAAGCACUGUGACACCUGGACAAUGAGUCUCUAUUACUUCAUCCUCUACCAUAAGGACUUAGCUGGACACAAUGAACUGAUGUGCCCACCACUAUGUCAUGGUGAGAAUGGGUAUUGUACUAGCACAUUUACAUGAUACAUUACAUUUCAUUUGCUGCUGAAAACCUGUAUGACAAAUCAUCAUUGUAAAUUAUUACAUACAAAACUGUUAAUGUUGGUUGAAGAGUAUUAAAUAUUUAACAUAGGUUUUGAUUUAUACAUGUACUUUUUUUUUUUUUAAUUAAAAUGUAACUUUUCCUACAGCACAUCUUUUUUGAUGUGGAACUGAGGUAUACUAUAUUCUGUUGUAAACAGAGUGGGGAACCUGCUUAAAACAAGGCUAAUAAGAAUAGAGUAGGGUACUAUUCUUGUUUUAAGAUUGUAAUUCAGAAAAUAAUAUAAUAUGAAUCAUUGGCCCCUGGGCCUUGAUUGUACAGUCAUAUUUACUGAUACUAUCAGUUGUAAGAUAACCCUGAUGUUGAGCUAAAUUCUUUCCAAAAGAAAAAAUAAUAAUUUUGUACUCCUCUUGUAAAAUAGGCUGUAUUAACUCAAAUGAAGAUAAACUUACUGUAGAUGGUAUUUACAAGUGUCAAUUUGAACUCAUCUAUUGCACAGAAACUUACAAAAAGCAGAAAAAAGAAAUCAAAGUCUUCCAUUGUAUAUAUUGUUAGGAGAAAAAAGGAAAAAAAAGAACCAUGGGUGAAGUCUUCAAAUCAAAACUCUUCCUGGAAUGAAAAAUGUGGGUGUUUGUAAAUUCUGGAAAUCUUUCUAUACGUAAUAAACUAGAAUACUGUUUUAUCUG
This is an RNA transcript of Terrapene triunguis (Three-toed box turtle), 5782 nucleotides long. It is a transcript of the gene named insulin receptor substrate 1, with no coding region annotated. The record is from RefSeq and is a predicted model, not a curated record. The transcript has 3 exons. Lineage: Eukaryota; Metazoa; Chordata; Testudines; Emydidae.